CAUCAUGUUGAAACAGGUUCCUGUAUGAUCACCAAAGUUAAGCAACACUAAGCCUGGUCAGUACUUAAAUGGGUGACCACUUAGGAAUACUAGGUGCUGUAA
Molecule: non-coding RNA, 102 nt
Organism: Acanthosepion pharaonis
Lineage: Eukaryota; Metazoa; Mollusca; Cephalopoda; Sepiida; Sepiidae
Source: the annotation of a GenBank genome assembly